Molecule: ribosomal RNA, 301 nt
Filed under: uncultured bacterium
Lineage: Bacteria
Description: partial 16S ribosomal RNA
Rfam family: Bacterial small subunit ribosomal RNA
Source: RNAcentral
CAGUAGCCGCGGUAACACAGAGGAUGCAAGCGUUAUCCGGAAUGAUUGGGCGUAAAGCGUCUGUAGGUGGCUUUUCAAGUCCGCCGUCAAAUCCCAGGGCUCAACCCUGGACAGGCGGUGGAAACUACCAAGCUGGAGUACGGUAGGGGCAGAGGGAAUUUCCAGUGGAGCGGUGAAAUGCGUUGAGAUCGAAAAGAACACCAACGGCGAAAGCACUCUGCUGGGCCGACACUGACACUGAGAGACGAAAGCUAGGGGAGCAAAUGGGAUUAGAUACCCCCGUAGUCCCUGUCUCUUAUAC